ACGGCAGACGAUCGCAACAGGCUGGGGCCUGUCGAGAAAAACGCCUCAGCCCCCGCCCGUCGAAAUGCCUCUCCAACAAGAGGCGACGGGCGGGGUCCGAGGGA
RNAcentral lists this small RNA (104 nucleotides) under Sinorhizobium meliloti 2011. RNAcentral's name for it is "putative ncRNA". The record is from RNAcentral. Lineage: Bacteria; Pseudomonadati; Pseudomonadota; Alphaproteobacteria; Hyphomicrobiales; Rhizobiaceae.